UCCCUGGUGGUCUAGUGGUUAAGACUCCACACUUUCACUGUAGGGGGCACAGGGUUGCAUCCCUAGUCAGGGAA
RNAcentral lists this transfer RNA (74 nucleotides) under Ovis aries (sheep). It matches the Rfam family "tRNA". From Rfam's summary of the family: Transfer RNA (tRNA) molecules are approximately 80 nucleotides in length. Their secondary structure includes four short double-helical elements and three loops (D, anti-codon, and T loops). Lineage: Eukaryota; Metazoa; Chordata; Mammalia; Artiodactyla; Bovidae. The record is from Rfam by way of RNAcentral.